This is a long non-coding RNA of Panicum hallii, 963 nucleotides long. RefSeq lists it as uncharacterized. Lineage: Eukaryota; Viridiplantae; Streptophyta; Magnoliopsida; Poales; Poaceae. The transcript is spliced from 2 exons. The record is from RefSeq and is a predicted model, not a curated record.
UCCAAAUCUUUAUAACAUCUGUUAAACUAUUCGAGUGGCACGCUGAUUGGAUGAUAACAUGGACCUUACAUGGGCACGCUGGUGAAUAUAUGCAAGAAUGCCCUUCAAUAUAUGUAUCCUCUCUCUUCCUCCACAUCUCUCUCCUGCGUCGUGGCGCACCCAAGCCUGCACGGCACCGGCGACGUGGCCCUGGGCGUGCCCCUCACCGCGGGGCCCGUGGUCGCGAGGGCCGGAGCCGGGAGAGUGCCGGCCGCCGGAGUUCUGCCCCGCCCCUGCGGUCGAUUGCAGGAUUAAAUCGCCGGCCCGCUCCAGCAGCGGUGGAUCAGAGAGGAGCUCGUCAACACGGACUCUGUCAAAAUCCGAGCGGCCAGAGCACGAUUCCGACCAGCUCCAUGGCGGAGGCAGCACCGGCUUCGCAGCGGAGGCCGAGACGGGCGCGAGCGGCGCGCCCAUCAUAGCGAGGAGGAGGAGGAGGCAGAGGUCAGAGCAGUGGAACGACCCAUCGUUGGCGCCCGGCAUCAGCGGAGUACGGGCCGGUGCGCAGGAAGGAGGAAGUGGAACGCCAACGAGCGGUGGGAGACGGCGAACCUGGGCCGACGCGCCUCGUCAUGACCUCCCAUGUGCAGCGUCGUCGCUGGAAGGGAUCAGGGGAAGAAAGGGGGAGAGAGGAAGAGCUGACAAAUGGGUCCCACAUGUCAGGUCCAUGUCAUCGCCUAGUCAGUGUGUCACUCGGACGGUUUAACGGAUGUUUUGAAGAUUUGGACCUAUAUGAUACAAUUAGCAAUUAGCAAGUUUGAGGGUUUGAAAAUAUAUUUUAAAAUUUGAGGAUUUAAAAAUAUAUUUUGAAAUUUUGGAAGCUAGAUGAUAUAGCCGGAUAAAUUCAUAUACGGCUCAUGUAUUUUACUCCCGAGCCAAGCCUCUAAAGUAGGUCCAGCAGGCUAAAAGGGAGCUCGGGAUUAGCUU